UGAGCUCGAUGAGUAGGGCGGGACACGUGGUAUCCUGUCUGAAUAUGGGGGGACCAUCCUCCAAGGCUAAAUACUCCUGACUGACCGAUAGUGAACCAGUACCGUGAGGGAAAGGCGAAAAGAACCCCGGCGAGGGGAGUGAAAAAGAACCUGAAACCGUGUACGUACAAGCAGUGGGAGCACCCUUUGGGGUGUGACUGCGUACCUUUUGUAUAAUGGGUCAGCGACUUAUAUUCUGUAGCAAGGUUAACCGAAUAGGGGAGCCGUAGGGAAACCGAGUCUUAAUUGGGCGUUAAGUUGCAGGGUAUAGACCCGAAACCCGGUGAUCUAGCCAUGGGCAGGUUGAAGGUUGGGUAACACUAACUGGAGGACCGAACCGACUAAUGUUGAAAAAUUAGCGGAUGACCUGUGGCUGGGGGUGAAAGGCCAAUCAAACCGGGAGAUAGCUGGUUCUCCCCGAAAGCUAUUUAGGUAGCGCCUCGUGAAUUCAUCUCCGGGGGUAGAGCACUGUUUCGGCUAGGGGGCCAUCCCGGCUUACCAACCCGAUGCAAACUGCGAAUACCGGAGAAUGUUAUCACGGGAGACACACGGCGGGUGCUAACGUCCGUCGUGAAGAGGGAAACAACCCAGACCGCCAGCUAAGGUCCCAAAGUCAUGGUUAAGUGGGAAACGAUGUGGGAAGGCCCAGACAGCCAGGAUGUUGGCUUAGAAGCAGCCAUCAUUUAAAGAAAGCGUAAUAGCUCACUGGUCGAGUCGGCCUGCGCGGAAGAUGUAACGGGGCUAAACCAU
This 789-nucleotide ribosomal RNA is filed under the name Salmonella enterica subsp. enterica. Its description in RNAcentral is "partial 23S ribosomal RNA". It matches the Rfam family "Bacterial large subunit ribosomal RNA", at positions 400 to 1190 of the family's 2925-position model. The record is from RNAcentral. Lineage: Bacteria; Pseudomonadati; Pseudomonadota; Gammaproteobacteria; Enterobacterales; Enterobacteriaceae.